Molecule: ribosomal RNA, 446 nt
Filed under: uncultured Prevotella sp.
Lineage: Bacteria; Pseudomonadati; Bacteroidota; Bacteroidia; Bacteroidales; Prevotellaceae
Description: bacterial SSU rRNA
Rfam family: Bacterial small subunit ribosomal RNA
Source: RNAcentral
UGAGGGAAUAUUUGGGGUCAAUGGACGGAAGUCUGAACCAGCCAAGUAGCGUGCAGGAUGACGGCCCUAUGGGUUGUAAACUGCUUUUAUGUGGGAAUAAAGUGAGGGACGUGUCCCCUUUUGUAGGUACCACAUGAAUAAGGACCGGCUAAUUCCGUGCCAGCAGCCGCGGUAAUACGGAAGGUCCGGGCGUUAUCCGGAUUUAUUGGGUUUAAAGGGAGCGUAGGCCGUCUUUUAAGCGUGUUGUGAAAUACUGUCGCUCAACGGCAGAGGUGCAGCGCGAACUGGGAGACUUGAGUGCGCGGAAUGCAGGCGGAAUUCGUCGUGUAGCGGUGAAAUGCUUAGAUAUGACGCAGAACUCCGAUUGCGAAGGCAGCUUUCCAGCGCGCUACUGACGCUGAGGCACGAAAGCGUGGGGAUCGAACAGGAUUAGAUACCCUGGUAGU